This 497-nucleotide ribosomal RNA is filed under the name uncultured bacterium. RNAcentral's name for it is "partial 16S ribosomal RNA". It matches the Rfam family "Bacterial small subunit ribosomal RNA", at positions 28 to 507 of the family's 1533-position model. The record is from RNAcentral.
GAUGAACGCUGGCGGCGUGCCUAAUACAUGCAAGUCGAGCGAACAGAUAAGGAGCUUGCUCCUUUGACGUUAGCGGCGGACGGGUGAGUAACACGUGGGUAACCUACUUAUAAGACUGGAAUAACUCCGGGAAACCGGGGCUAAUGCCGGAUAACAUUUAGAACCGCAUGGUUCUAAAGUGAAAGAUGGUUUUGCUAUCACUUCUAGAUGGACCCGCGCCGUAUUAGCUAGUUGGUAAGGUAACGGCUUACCACGGCGACGAUACGUAGCCGACCUGAGAGGGUGGUCGGCCACACUGGAGCGGAAACAGGGUCCAUACUCCUACGGGAGGCAGCAGUAUGGAAUCUGCCGCAAUAGGCGGAAACCUGACGGAACGACGCCGCGUGAGUGAUGAAGGUCUUCGGAGCGUAAAACUCGGUUAUUAGUGAAAAACAAAUGUGUAAGUAACUGUGCACGUCUUGACGGUACCUAAUCAGAAAGCCACGGCUAACUACGUG